AGCUCCAAUAGCGUAUAUUAAAGUUGUUGCAGUUAAAAAGCUCGUAGUUGGAUUUCUGGUGGGAGCGAUAUGCCCGCGCCGCAAGGCGUGUGAGCUUGUUCGUCUCCGGCCAUCCUUGGGGAAAACGUGCCUGGCAUUAGGUUGUCGGGUUCGGGAUCCUCAUCGUUUACUGUGAAAAAUUAGAGUGUUUAAAGCAGGCUUAUGCCGUUGAAUACAUUAGCAUGGAAUAAUAAGAUAGGACUUUGGUGGUCUAUUUUGUUGGUUUGCACACCAAGGUAAUGAUUAAUAGGGAUAGUUGGGGGUAUUCGUAUUCAAUUGUCAGAGGUGAAAUUCUUGGAUUUAUGGAAGACGAACUACUGCGAAAGCAUUUUACCAAGGAUGUUUUCAU
This 388-nucleotide ribosomal RNA is filed under the name uncultured eukaryote. RNAcentral's name for it is "SSU rRNA". It matches the Rfam family "Eukaryotic small subunit ribosomal RNA", at positions 587 to 973 of the family's 1831-position model. The record is from RNAcentral.